This 500-nucleotide ribosomal RNA is filed under the name uncultured bacterium. RNAcentral's name for it is "partial 16S ribosomal RNA". It matches the Rfam family "Bacterial small subunit ribosomal RNA", at positions 30 to 523 of the family's 1533-position model. The record is from RNAcentral.
AUUGAACGCUGGCGGCAUGCCUUACACAUGCAAGUCGAACGGCAGCACGGGAGUAAUCCUGGUGGCGAGUGGCGAACGGGUGAGUAAUAUAUCGGAACGUGCCCAGUCGUGGGGGAUAACGCAGCGAAAGCUGUGCUAAUACCGCAUACGAUCUACGGAUGAAAGCGGGGGAUCGCAAGACCUCGCGCGAUUGGAGCGGCCGAGAUCAGAUUAGCUAGUUGGUGGGGUAAAGGCCCACAAAGGCGACGAUCUGUAGCUGGUCUGAGAGGACGACCAGCCACACUGGAACUGAGACACGGUCCAGACUCCUACGGGAGGCAGCAGUGGGGAAUUUUGGAAAAUGGGCGCAAGCCUGAUCCAACAAUGCCGCGUGCAGGAUGAAGGCCUUCGGGUUGUAAACUGCUUUUGUACGGAACGAAACGGCCCUUUCUAAUACAGGGGGCUAAUGACGGUACCGUAAGAGUAAGCACCGGCUAACUACGUGCCAGCCGCCGCCGUAA